This 625-nucleotide long non-coding RNA is filed under the name Homo sapiens (human). Its description in RNAcentral is "HSALNT0398528". The record is from RNAcentral. Lineage: Eukaryota; Metazoa; Chordata; Mammalia; Primates; Hominidae.
CAGGUGAGAAAUCUGCAGUGAAGAAAGGUACAUCCCAAGGGGACACCGACAGCUGAGGGAGAGAAGAUCUGAGUCAGAGAGGAGUUCUGGAGAAACCAAGCGCAUCCCCCUCAACAUGAACUCCAGUCAAGAUUGGUCAGGUGCAGUGGCUUAUGCCUGUAAUCCCAGCUGAGGCAGGAGGAUCGCUUGAGCCCAGGAGUUUGAGACCAGCCUCGGUAACACACCCACAUCUUCCAUCAGAGGAUCCCACGAAAACAGUGCCAAAGAGAAUUCAGAACUACGUCCACUGGUCCAGUAACCCAUGGUUCCCACAGCAGGUGUCUCCCUCAACCCAACCUGGACGGGGGGCCACCUGGAUUGACAUUCGUCAUCUCUUCCACUGGACCGUGAGCUCCUUGAGGGCAGAUAAGAAAACUGAGGCUCAGAACGGGAAGUUCAUUGCUCAUCAUCAAACAUCCAGGAAAUGGUGGAGCCUGAAUGGGAACUCAGCUUCCAACAUGGCGUGGAUGUGGCCCAUCCCUUGGUGGCCUGGCUGGGUCUAUCUUAUGACAGUACGAGAUUGAAUGUUGGAGUGCCUUGCAGAAGAGAGAGAAAAUGUUGCUAAAACUUCAGGGGAAUGACUGGU